UGUUUUCGCGCGACUGCGCUGGCCGACGGGCUUGGCAUCCGACAAUAGGAUCAGCACUCUGCACCUAAAGCUUUCGUCGGCCUCCAAAGAAAGUAUGUUCUUUGCAGGGAUGCUAUUUCGACAACCGUACGGCUGGGCUUUUCCUGCAUCGCUUUUCACGUUGAAAGCUCGAAACGCCCAUCAAGUCGAAUGGCGGGGCAUUUGAAUAUAUAGCUCCAAAGGAAGGACAACAAAACAAAUUUCGCGCCUUCGAAAACAAGAUGACGUCACUUUUGCUUAUAACGGACAUGGCGUCACAUUAUUUUUUCUUCCGCCGGAAGUGUUCCCACCACAUACAGAUGGCGCUAAGCCCCAUGAACCGCCGAUGGACCGCCAUGUUUUGAACGUAUGGGCUCCUAUGGAAGCUUCGCUACCAGGUAUAUUUACCUUGCGUCAUGCGCCAGACAAGCCGCAGGAGUGAGCGAGGCCGGUCGUACGUGCGAAGCUCGCGUGCUCGGCGACCCGUCUGUUUUGGAUAUAGCCCAUUUUUUGGGCUCCCGGCCUUCUCCAUGCUUCUCUUGCGUAUCGUCUGCAUUUCGACACGGCACCACUGCACUACUGGACUACGGCAAACUGAUGGCAUCCGGUGGAGCAUCGUACGGCAACGACUUCUGCUUACCUGGUGCCACAACUUUGGAUGAAUGCAGAAGAAGCCCGGAACGAGCAUUUAUAUAGAGCAAAAUAAACAUUUCAUCAUUUCAGAA
Molecule: long non-coding RNA, 743 nt
Organism: Dermacentor andersoni
Lineage: Eukaryota; Metazoa; Arthropoda; Arachnida; Ixodida; Ixodidae
Source: RefSeq, a predicted model, not a curated record